UUUCUAGAUACCUGAAGGUAAGU
RNAcentral lists this small nuclear RNA (23 nucleotides) under Arabidopsis thaliana (thale cress). Its description in RNAcentral is "snRNA_12675". The record is from RNAcentral. Lineage: Eukaryota; Viridiplantae; Streptophyta; Magnoliopsida; Brassicales; Brassicaceae.